Molecule: ribosomal RNA, 621 nt
Filed under: Macropharyngodon bipartitus (rare wrasse)
Lineage: Eukaryota; Metazoa; Chordata; Actinopteri; Labriformes; Labridae
Description: partial small subunit ribosomal RNA
Rfam family: Bacterial small subunit ribosomal RNA
Source: RNAcentral
AGUUGAUGACUUCCGGCGUAAAGAGUGGUUAAGAAAUAAUUAAGACUAAAGCUAAACGACCUCAAAGCUGUUAUACGCACAUGAAAGUAUGAAGCCCAACUACGAAAGUGACUUUAAAAUUCUGACCCCACGAAAGCUAGGGCACAAACUGGGAUUAGAUACCCCACUAUGCCUAGCCCUAAACAUCGAUACUAACGUACCUAUUUUAUCCGCCAGGGUACUACGAGCAUCAGCUUAAAACCCAAAGGACUUGGCGGUGCUUUAGAUCCACCUAGAGGAGCCUGUUCUAGAACCGAUAAUCCCCGUUAAACCUCACCUUUUCUUGCCAUAUCCGCCUAUAUACCGCCGUCGUCAGCUUACUCUGUGAGGAGCUUGUAGUAAGCACAACCGGCACAGCCCAAAACGUCAGGUCGAGGUGUAGCGAAUGGAAAGGGAAGAAAUGGGCUACAUUCAAUAUUUUUAAUGAAUACGGAUGAUGCCUUGAAAAAGGCAUCUGAAGGAGGAUUUAGCAGUAAGCAGGGAAUAGAGUGCCCUGCUGAAAUUGGCCCUGAAGCGCGUACACACCGCCCGUCACUCUCCCCGAGCUAAUAAACACUAAUUACUAAUAAGCGAAACCUGCAA